RNAcentral lists this ribosomal RNA (530 nucleotides) under uncultured bacterium. RNAcentral describes it as "SSU rRNA". It matches the Rfam family "Eukaryotic small subunit ribosomal RNA", at positions 1143 to 1675 of the family's 1831-position model. The record is from RNAcentral.
CUCAAAGAAAUUGACGGGAGGGCACCACCAGGAGUGGAACCUGCGGCUUAAUUUGACUCAACACGGGGAAACUUACGAGGUCAGGACACUGUGAGGAUUGACAGAUUGAAAGCUCUUUCUUGAUUCAGUGGGUGGUGGUGCAUGGCCGUUCUUAGUUGGUGGAGUGAUUUGUCUGGUUAAUUCCGUUAACGAACGAGACCUUAACCUGCUAAAUAGUCACGCGAACCGGUCCGCAAGGGCUCAAAGUUCGCGGCUCGACUUCUUAGAGGGACUAUUCGCACCCGCCAGCGAAUGGAAGUUUGAGGCAAUAACUGGUCUGUGAUGCCCUUAGAUGUUCUCGGCCGCACGCGCGUUACACUGACGGAGUCAACGAGCGUUUUUCCUUGUCCGAUAGGGUUGGGUAACCUCCUGAAACUCCGUCGUGAUGGGGAUAGAUCAUUGCAAUUAUUGAUCUUGUACGAGGAAUUCCUAGUAGGCGCGAGUCAUCAACUCGCGCCGAUUACGUCCCUGGCCCUUGCACACACCGCCCG